GAUGGACGCUGGCGGCGUGCCUAACACAUGCAAGUCGAACGAAGCACCUUUUAAGAUUCUUCGGAUGAUUGAUUGGCGACUGAGUGGCGGACGGGUGAGUAACGCGUGGGUAACCUGCCCUGUACAGGGGGAUAACAGUUGGAAACGGCUGCCAAUACCGCAUAAGCGCACGAGAGGACAUCCUUUUGUGUGAAAAACUCCGGUGGUACAGGAUGGGCCCGCGUCUGAUUAGCUGGUUGGCAGGGUAACGGCCUACCAAGGCGACGAUCAGUAGCCGGUCUGAGAGGAUGAACGGCCACAUUGGAACUGAGACACGGUCCAAACUCCUACGGGAGGCAGCAGUGGGGAAUAUUGCACAAUGGGGGAAACCCUGAUGCAGCAACGCCGCGUGAGUGAAGAAGUAUUUCGGUAUGUAAAGCUCUAUCAGCAGGGAAGAUAAUGACGGUACCUGACUAAGAAGCUCCGGCUAAAUACGUGCCAGCAGCCGCAGUAA
This 493-nucleotide ribosomal RNA is filed under the name uncultured bacterium. RNAcentral describes it as "partial 16S ribosomal RNA". It matches the Rfam family "Bacterial small subunit ribosomal RNA", at positions 28 to 523 of the family's 1533-position model. The record is from RNAcentral.